Molecule: ribosomal RNA, 220 nt
Filed under: uncultured bacterium
Lineage: Bacteria
Description: partial 16S ribosomal RNA
Rfam family: Bacterial small subunit ribosomal RNA
Source: RNAcentral
GCAAGUCGAGCGCUACCUUCGGGUGGAGCGGCGGACGGGUUAGUAACGCGUGGGAAUAUACCCAGUUCUAAGGAAUAGCCUCUGGAAACGGAGAGUAAUACCUUAUGUGCCCUUCGGGGGAAAGAUUUAUCGCCAUUGGAUUAGCCCGCGUUAGAUUAGGUAGUUGGUGGGGUAAUGGCCUACCAAGCCUACGAUCUAUAGCUGGUUUGAGAGGAUGAUC